AUACGGAGGGUGCAAACGUUGUUCGGAAUUACUGGGCGUAAAGCGCGCGUAGGCGGCUUGUUAAGUCAGAUGUGAAAGUCCACAGCUCAACUGUGGAAGUGCAUUUGAAACUGGCAGGCUUGAGUACUGGAGGGGAUGGUGGAAUUCCCGGUGUAGAGGUGAAAUUCGUAGAUAUCAGGAGGAAUACUGGUGGCGAAGGCGACCAUCUGGCCAGAUACUGACGCUGAGGUGCGAAGGCGUGGGGAGCAAACAGGAUUAGAAACCCCAGUAGUCC
Molecule: ribosomal RNA, 274 nt
Filed under: uncultured bacterium
Lineage: Bacteria
Description: partial 16S ribosomal RNA
Rfam family: Bacterial small subunit ribosomal RNA
Source: RNAcentral